Molecule: long non-coding RNA, 942 nt
Organism: Oreochromis niloticus (Nile tilapia)
Lineage: Eukaryota; Metazoa; Chordata; Actinopteri; Cichliformes; Cichlidae
Exons: 3
Source: RefSeq, a predicted model, not a curated record
GAGCUGUGAAAGUAUCUGAAGGAGAGAUUUACAGCUUCAAUGUAACAGAUGGAGGAGUUUAUUACUGUGUGGCCACUAAUGAUCUGGGUAAUCAGACAUCAGCAGAGAUUCAUGUGAAUACUGAAGGUGGUAUUGGUCUCUUUGCUCUACUGCAGACUGCAGGAAUCACAGUGCUUGUGAUCACACUGGCCAUCUUUGAGUGCUGCUUCAGAUCGAGACGCUCCAACAAAUCAGAGAUAGAAAUCUGCCAAAUGAACACUUACUUAACAGCUGAACAACUAAAGUCUAUGCAAGUCGCAAGAGGAGGGAAAACUCCAGUUUAAAAUACAAUAUGAAACUAUUUUUAACGCUUAAGAGUUGGUUUGCCAGAAUUAAGGAUGUUUGUAGAUUUCUUUAUAGUGUGGUGUUCAAAUAUUUUUAGGCAAAUUAUUAAAAAAAAGGCCAUACUGGCUUAAAAUGUAUACCACCAGACCUUAAAAGGUUGCUUGUCUCGCUCAGAUUAUUCAUAUUAGCAAAGUAUGCUUAUAGACCAGGUCAUACUAGAACUCUCUCAGCACAUAUAAGGGAUCACUGUUUAAUAAAUAUAGAUGAUAGGAAACUAGACAGGGUUGUGUUUUUAAAUGCUACUGUGUUCAAUGUCACUGACAACAGUGUUUUAAUAACAAAAUGAAAUGUCUAUAAUGAUGUGUUUUGUGUGUGUGUGUUUAUGGGUGUGUGGAUUUGUCAUGUCUGUUGUGUUUUUGUAAUACGUUUAUCAUCUUCUGCAUGUAAUCUUCCACGGGCCAGCGGAUGCAAAUUAUCUUAAACUAACUCUGGUACAAAACAUUGAAUCACAACAUUUAUGUUAAUAUUGUGCAUUUUUCCUUUUCAAAUAAAAUCAAUUAAUAAUAAUAACUGAACCUAGAUGUUGUUGUAUCUCAGAUCAAAAACUGUCUUUCUGGG